This 18-nucleotide transfer RNA is filed under the name Trematodon longicollis. RNAcentral describes it as "partial tRNA-Ser". Lineage: Eukaryota; Viridiplantae; Streptophyta; Bryopsida; Dicranales; Bruchiaceae. The record is from RNAcentral.
GGAAAGGAGAGGGAUUCG